AACAUCGCGCACCUGCGGGAACCUGCGGAAGGAUCAUCACCGGAUGUGACCCAUUUAUAAUGACCGCGUGAACUGUGCAAGGUGGCGGCUCUGGAUUGAGGCGCGCGCCCCUAUAUCAGACAUGCCUAGACUAACACAAGUGUAUUUCUAAACGACAACUUUUAACAACGGAUCU
Molecule: unclassified non-coding RNA, 175 nt
Filed under: soil metagenome
Description: partial contains 5.8S ribosomal RNA, internal transcribed spacer 2, and large subunit ribosomal RNA
Source: RNAcentral